GCACCAGGCCGGGCCCCUCUGGCAACCUCACCGGUUGCGAUGUCGGACUGGGAAC
Azospirillum lipoferum 4B is the source of this 55-nucleotide non-coding RNA. The record is from Rfam. Lineage: Bacteria; Pseudomonadati; Pseudomonadota; Alphaproteobacteria; Rhodospirillales; Azospirillaceae.